AAAAACAUGUNUUUUUGAAAAUAAUAAAAAGUUUAAUCUGCCCACUGAAUUUAUUUAAAGGGCUGCAGUAUAUUGACUGUACAAAGGUAGCAUAAUCAAUAGUCUUUUAAUUGAAGACUUGUAUGAAUGAUUUGAUGAAAUAUGAACUGUCUCUUUUUUAAAAAUAAAAUUUAAUUUUUUAGUUAAAAAGCUAAAAUAAUUAUAAAAGACGAGAAGACCCUAUAGAGUUUUAUAGUUAUUUAAUUUAAAAAUUUUAUAUAUAAUUUAAAUUUAAAAUUAAUUAAUUAUUUUAUUGGGGUGAUAGAAAAAUUAAAAAAACUUUUUUUAAAAAUUUAACAUUAAUUUAUGAAAUUAUGAUCCAUAAUUUAUGAUUAAAAGAAUCAAUUACCUUAGGGAUAACAGCGUAAUUUUUUUUUUUAGUACAAAUAAGAAAAAGAGUUUGCGACCUCGAUGUUGGAUUAAGAUAAAAUUUAAAUGCAAAAGUUUAAAAUUUUUGAUCUGUUCGAUCAUUAAAAUCUUACA
The sequence is a ribosomal RNA, 522 nucleotides long. The stretch from base 395 to 522 matches the Rfam family "Bacterial large subunit ribosomal RNA", at positions 2473 to 2600 of the family's 2925-position model.